ACGAACCCAGGUCAGGCGGGAUUAACCACUGAGUUUCAGCAUACAAAUAAGUGGAGAAAAAUAAACUUAUAAGGAUUCCCUUAGUAACGGCGAGCGUACCGGGAACAGCCUAGCCUUAAAAAUGGGUGGCUCCAUCAUCCGAAUUGUUGUUUGGAGAAGUGUCCUCGGCGGACGAGCCGGCCCAAAUCCCCUGGAAGGGGGAGCCAGAGAGAGCGAGAGCCAUAUUGUGCCUGGACCCUACCGCACCACGAGGCACUGUCUACGAGUCGAGUUGUUUGGGAAUGCUGCCCAAAUCAGGUGGUGCAUUCCGUCCAAGGCUAAAUACAAGUGACAGACCGAUAGCGAACAAGUACCGCGAGGGAAAGAUGAAAAAGACUUUGAAAAGAGAGUCAAAGAGUGCUUGAAAUUAUCAGGAGGGAAGCAGAUGGGGGCCGGAGAUGCGCACUGAUCGGAUGUGGAAUGGCAACGAUCCGGUCCGUCGAUCGACUCGGGGCAUGGAGCAGUGUGGAUUGGGGGAAUCCAAAGCCCGGGUUCUCGACGCUUGUGGAACACCGUAUCCUCGAUUGUGGCAAGCAGCGCGCGCCUCCAUCGUGCUUCAGCAUCUACACGCUACGGACGCUGGCCUGUGGCUCCCCAUUUGACCCGUCUUAAAAAAUUGACCAAGGAGUCUGACAUGUGUGAGAGUCAACAGGCGAGUAAACCCGUAAGGCAUAAAGAAGCUGAUUGGUGGUAUCCCCCCGAGGGGUGCACCACCGACCGACCUUGAUCUUCUGAGAAGGGUUCAAGUGUGAGCAUACCUAUCGAGACCCGAAAGUUGGUGAAAUAUGCCUGAGCGAGGCAAAGCCAUAGGAAACUCUGGUGGAGGACCGCAGCGAUACUGACAUGCAAAUCAUUCGUAUGACUCUCUUUGUCGAGCCGUGCCACAAAAUCAAGAGCUCCAAGUGGGCCAUUUUUGGUAAGCAGAACUGGCUAUGCGGGAUAAAUCAAAAGUCGGGUUACGGUGCCAAACUACACGCUAACCUAGAUCCCGCAAAGGGUGUUGGUCGAUUAAGACAGCACAACGGUGGUCAUGGAAGUCAAAAUCUGCUAAGGAGUGUGUAACAACUCACCUACCGAAUUAACUAGCCCCGAAAAUGAAUGGCGCUUAAGCGCGUGACCUACACCCGACGUCGGGGAAAGUUCCAGGCCCCGAUAAGUAGGAGGGCGCAAUGGUCGCUACAAAACCUUGGGCGCGAGCCCAGGAAGAGCGACGUUCGGUGCAGAUAUUGGGGGUAGUAGUAAAUAUUCAAAUGAGAACUUUGAUGGCCGUUGAGAGGAAAGGUUCCAUGUGAACAACACUUGCACAUGGGUUAGUCGAUCCUAAGGGUCAGGGGAACCACGACAGAUAGCGCGUUUUGUGCGUACUCCAAAAGAGAAUAGGGUUUAAAUUCCUGGACUGGGAUGUGGCGGUCGAAGGCAAUGUUAGAAUGUCUGGUGACGUAGGCGGGAGCCUUAGGAAGAGUAAUCUUUUCUGUUUUACAGCCUGCCCACCCUGGAAUUGGCUAAUCCGGAAGUAAGGUCCAGCAGCUGGAAGAGCAUCGCACGUCGCGCGGUGUUUGGUGCACUACCAGCGUCCUUUGAAAAUCCAGAGGACCGAUUGCCGUCCAUGCUAGGUCGUACUCAUAAUCACAUCAGGUCUCAAAGGGGAACAUCCUCUGAUUGAUGGAACAAUAUAAGCAAGGAAAGUCAACAAAAUGGAUCCAUAACUUCUGGAAAAGGAUUGGCACUAAGGGCUGGGCACGGGGGUCCCAAUCCCGAACCCGUCGACUGUCGGUGGACUACUCGAGCUGCUUCCACAGUGAGAGCGGGUCGCCACGUGCCAGUUGGGGGAUAGACUAGGAACGGUUCCUUCGGGGGCCUUCCCCGCGCGUCGAACAUCCAACUCAGAACUGGUACGGAUAAGGAGAAUCCGAAUGUUUAAUUAAACAAAGCAUUGCGAUGGUCCUAACGGAUGUUCACGCAUUGUGAUUUUUGCUCAGUGCUCUUAAUGUCAAAGUGAAUAAAUUUAACUAAGCAUGGGUAAACGGCGGGAGUAACUAUGACUCUCUUAAGGUAGCCAAAUGCCUCAUAAUCUAAUUAGUGACGCGCAUGAAUGGUUUAAAGAGAUUCCCACUAUCCCUGUCUACUAUCCAGCGAAGCCACAACCAAGGGAAUGGGCUUGGCAGAAUCAGCGGGGAAAGAAGAACCUCUUGAGAUUGACUCUACUCUGACUUUGUAAAAUGACUUGAGAUGUGUAGUAUAAGUGGGAGCCGAAAGGCGAAAGUUAAAUACCACUACUUUUAAUGUUAUUUUACUUAUUCCAUGAAUCGGAAGCGGGGCACUACCCCUCUUUUUGGACCCAAGGCUCGCUCUGCGGGUCAAUCUAGGCAGAAGACAUUGUUAGGUGGGGAUUUUGGUUGGGGCGGCAUAUCUGUUAAAAGAUAACGCAGGUGUUCUAAGAUGAGCUCAACGAGAACAGAAAAUCAUGUGGAACAGAAAGGUAAAAGCUCAUUUGAUUUUGAUUUCCAGUAUGAAUACGAACCAUUAAAGUGUGGCCUAGCGAUCCUUUAGACCUUCGAAAUUUGAAGUUAGAGGUGUUAGAAAAGUGUUACCAUAGGGAUAACUGGCAUGUUGCAGCUAAGCGUUCAUAGCGAAGUUGCUUUUUCAUCCUUUGAUGUCGGCUCUUCCUAUCAUUGUGAAGAAGAAUUCACCAAGUAUUGGGCUGUUCACCCACCAAUAGGGGAGAUGAGCUAGGUAUAGACCAUCGUGAGACAAGUUUUACCCUACUUAUGACAGUGUCGCAGUAGUAAUUCAACCUAGUACUAGAGGAAAUGUUGAAUCACAUAAUUUGUCGUUGCACUUGGUUGAAAAGCCAGUGGUGCAAAGCAACCGUGUACUGGAUUAUGACUGAACACCUCUAAGUUAGAAUCCGAGCUAGAAGCGAUGCAUGCACCCGCUGUCCACUUGCCGACCCGCAGUAGGGUCCUCAGCCCCCAAGGGCAGGUGUCAUUUUCUAAGACACCGCGGCGGAAGAGUCGCGGUGGCCGACUUGAAGUAUAAUUUCUAUCGAACGGCGGGUAGAAUCCUUUGCAAAUGACUUAAAUAUGCGGCUGUGUAUUGUAAGUGGAAGAGUGACCUUGCUGCUAUGAUCCACUGAGAUACAUUCCUUUGUUGCUCCGGUUCGU
Molecule: ribosomal RNA, 3203 nt
Filed under: Capsicum annuum
Lineage: Eukaryota; Viridiplantae; Streptophyta; Magnoliopsida; Solanales; Solanaceae
Description: eukaryotic LSU rRNA
Rfam family: Eukaryotic large subunit ribosomal RNA
Source: RNAcentral